Molecule: ribosomal RNA, 305 nt
Filed under: uncultured bacterium
Lineage: Bacteria
Description: bacterial SSU rRNA
Rfam family: Bacterial small subunit ribosomal RNA
Source: RNAcentral
CCCUACGGGAGGCAGCAGUGGGGAAUAUUGCACAAUGGGGGAAACCCUGAUGCAGCGACGCCGCGUGAGUGAAGAAGUAUUUCGGUAUGUAAAGCUCUAUCAGCAGGGAAGAUAAUGACGGUACCUGACUAAGAAGCCCCGGCUAACUACGUGCCAGCAGCCGCGGUAAUACGUAGGGGGCAAGCGUUAUCCGGAUUUACUGGGGGUAAAGGGGGCGUAGGGGGAAGGGCAAGGCAGAUGGGAAAGCCCGGGGCUCAACCCCGGGACUGCAUUUGAAACUGACAAGCUGGAGGGAAGGAGAGGAA